This is a non-coding RNA of Oryzias latipes (Japanese medaka), 3481 nucleotides long. Lineage: Eukaryota; Metazoa; Chordata; Actinopteri; Beloniformes; Adrianichthyidae. The record is from RefSeq and is a predicted model, not a curated record.
AACAGGAAAGGAAAAUCCAUUUCCUGAAUUUUGCUCAGAGCACUGUUAAGACUGUACAGAUUACACUAACUUUGCUUGUGUCCUCUGGAAACCAGAAUGGCUCUCACAUCCGAAGAAUUUUGUAAUUCUCAGCCACGAGGAUCCUUUGCCAUUCAAGAGAGCGGGCAGGCGGGCAUUUCUGCCAAUUUGACCCACACAUUUAGUGAUGGCUCUGAAAAAACUGAGCCCAUGACCAUCAAAAGAAGUUCCGUGAGGCCGAUUAACAUGCAGGAGGAGCAAACCCUCUCUGAGGUGGCACCAGGACCUGUUUGGGCUGAGUCACACGAGGAGAAAGUAUUCACUAUGGCCAAGAGUCGGCAUUUUCUGAGGCAACUAGAAAACAUAAAGGAGCAGGGAGUUGACACUACCUCACUUGGAGAAGCAGCCAUCACCGAGGCAGAAAGUACAGUUUCUGUCAUUCCCAGCAUGAAGAAGCGUAGAAUGAACCCACCAAAGCGUACACCAGGAUGGAGAAAAAAGAACGGCAACAGGAGGUUAACACAGAAAAGUAUCAGGACUGCUGUUUGCCUUGGAAUCUUGAUGACAGUCGGGUUGGUACCUGUCUGUGCUUCAUCUUCUGAUUUAAAUGGAGUUAACUGUUUCACCUGCAACAAUACGAAUUGUGAAACUCUUCAUACCAUCUAUGGGUCUGACGACAAACUCCUCUAUGACAAACUCCAAAUUGACGCCAGAAAAGGAUGUUUCAGAGUUCAGCUAAAUGGCUGUUUGCCGUGCCUUGACCAAUUCCCCGUCACCAUCUACUGUUCAAGCAACAUCACAUACAUUGAAGCAGAGGGUGACACCGGAAGCCUCAAAGAUUUCGUUUCCAGUGGAUGUGAGCAGAAGCCUGCAAGCAGUCACGCAGGUAUGAUAUAUUUAUCUUCACUUUUAUACGGUUCCAGCUUAUUGUGACAACAUUUUUUAAUUUUGGUCCAUGCUUAUGAUUAUACUGAACUCUUCCAUGCUGCCCUUCAGGCUCCACCACAGCAGUUCAGCAGCGUUGGUGCCUUUUGCGUUGAAGUCAUUUCCGUUUGAAAACAUUAGAUGAGUAAUUGCCCCCAUGCUCUAUGCUGUCAGCAUGGUUGUAGGAAAAUUGAAUCUGCAUCUUCUUCGAUGAGAGAGCAAAUUUUAUUUUUCCCCUCUUUUUUGGGGGUGGGUUCAAUGUAUUUGGAUUUUCUCACUUCAUUCAAUCUUCAUUUUAAAACUACAAAGGCAUUUAUUAAAAAAAAAGAAAUAAAAAUGAUUCAGUACAUUUUAUUCCUUUUAACGUGAUAUCCAGAAGUAAAACUAAACAUUUUACUUCAAACAUGUUUCUCUUGUUUGCGUAUUGAUGUUUCGGGACAACCACAGAUUCAGGACAGAUCAGGCAAGGUUCAGAUUAGUAAUUUAAUAACAAAAGGCGGCACACCUGGUGGGGAAAAUACACAAACGAAAAACUCGAAGUCUAGCAUGAAAAAAUUACACUGACCCCACUGUGGCAAAGGAACAGCCAAAUAACUAAAAUGAAAAGACACGCUCACACUAAUGACUGAAGCAGAGACACUUAAAAUGAUGGGGGAUAUUUUGUGCCAGGGCUUCCCGGCUUGGUCUGUGGUUGAUACCACGGUGCUUUACCUCACCAAGAUGGCUGGGGUCCAUCACGGCUGUGGAGUGGACCCUGCUGCUGUCCCAGUCUGGGUGGGCACUGUGGCAAUGUUCCUGUGGCUGAGCUGGCUCCUGGUACAAAUAGAUUACCAAUAGCCCAUACUGUUUCCUAACAGCAGAGCUUAGCCAUUAGCUUCUUUUAGAAUUACAGUCCCGUUUUCAUGCCAGUAUUCAUUGUGUGCGGGGUCAUGGGGCAUAUGUUAUACUGGAGGGGAGGAAGCCAAAUGGAUGGGUUGGUUUGAACUUAAAUUGUGGAUAUCUCUUUUUCUUAGUCUAUUUGUUUUUAACUGUAAAACGAUUUUAGCUUUGCAAAGCAUGAAAAGUGCAUUUUAAUAGAUAAAGAUUUGAACUUUUGUCCAAGCAGCUGUGCGCCAUUCCACUUAGCCACAGAUGAGUGGGCGGAACCCUUCAGGAGAAGCCUCAGCCAACCUGCACAGCAAACAAAAGGGGUUGAGCCAUCAUGCUCACUUUGGACUGAUUGCUGCUGGUGGUACGUAUAAACAAUUGUUAAUUAGAAGCAUGUAAAUCCUGUAAAGUUUAAAAUGUUUGCACUAAAAUGUAAAGGAAUUCUGAGCAGUUUCAAGUUUGAUUUCUCUUGACCCAAAUGACAGCACUGUUUCUCUGUUUUACAGCUCUCUUUUUGAUCAUGGUUGGAAUACUUUUUUUAUUAGCUGGCCUGAAUCAAUGUGGAUAAACAACAUGUACUACUCACAACUGAAUCAACUUAGCAACUGAUUUUCCUAGAUUUCUGCGUGUCUGCAGGUAAAACUGUUUGUUUAAAGAAAAAAAAAGUAAAAUUCCCCCAUAAUUAUGCUAGUAAAUCACAUUAAAGAAUUAAAUUUAGUACAGUUUUGGUCACUCUUCCUAGUUGUGAUUGUAAGGUACAAAACAAUAAACCAGAGUGCAGCUAUGUUGCUGACAUAACAGAAACUAUAACUAUCUUAUCUAACCGCCUAUAAUUUGCCAAAAUUUGGAUGUUGUUUGUUUUCCCACGCUGCAGAGGCUGGUGUUCUUUAAAUCCUUCAUACCCCUGAAAUUUUCCUACCAGCACUCACUGCGCAUGCGGGGUCCGAAAUUAAGUCAUAAUUUUCCUUUUUGGCAGCCUACCCAUAAAUCUGUGCUAUUGCUUUUAUCUUGUGGUUUCUACACUGUUUUUUUUUAUGUUUUUGUAACUUUUGGUUUAAAUUUACCUGCUUGAUUCAACUAACACAAUGCUACACUUGCCAACUCAAAUUAGCACUGAACGUUUAGCUCACUAUUUCUGGGACUCCUAAAUUGUUUUCACCCCGCACCACAACUUUGUGGACGAUCCAUGUCCACAGUGCCUCUCUGUCCACGUGGUGAACAUUUCAAAAUCCACAAGGUCUUAUCAAUCGAACACAGUGAGCGCAUCACAAAAUUUAAAAAAAACCUUGGCGGAGCAGAUCAGGACAUUUGAAUAGCUGUAUCUAUCAUUGUGUGCUGCAGGUUGAAAAAUCUCAAGAGGUAGGGAACAGCUCUAGGUUAAGGUUGACAUCAUGAAAUAGGCGGCACUCACAAGGAGCGAAAACUGGUACCUCGGAGAUCGAGUUGUCUUACUUCUGGGUACUCGUACUUCAUUACAAAAUCGCUUUUUGGUGUGAAAGGUAAUAUAUUGUCAUUUAUAUGGAUAAAGUUUACUUUCAAAGGCUUUGAGAAAAGAAUGAUAUAGGCCCUUUAAGUCUUUACAAAAACGUCUAAUGAAUUCUCCUCUUUAAUUGAUUGUUAUAUGCUUUAAUCUUUGUUUACUGUUUCAAUAAAAAAUAAUAAUAACCCAAAA